AGUGAACGCUGGCGGUAGGCCAAACACAUGCAAGUCGAGCGGCAGCACAGUAAGAGCUUGCUCUUACGGGUGGCGAGUGGCGGACGGGUGAGGAAUACAUCGGAAUCUACUUUUUCGUGGGGGAUAACGUAGGGAAACUUACGCUAAUACCGCAUACGACCUACGGGUGAAAGCAGGGGAUCUUCGGACCUUGCGCGAUUGAAUGAGCCGAUGUCGGAUUAGCUAGUUGGCGGGGUAAAGGCCCACCAAGGCGACGAUCCGUAGCUGGUCUGAGAGGAUGAUCAGCCACACUGGAAAUGAGACACGGUCCAGACUCCUACGGGAGGCAGCAGUGGGGAAUAUUGGACAAUGGGCGCAAGCCUGAUCCAGCCAUACCGCGUGGGUGAAGAAGGCCUUCGGGUUGUAAAGCCCUUUUGUUGGGAAAGAAAAGCAGCAGGUUAAUACCCCGCUGUUCUGACGGUACCCAAAGAAUAAGCACCGGCUAACUUCGUG
RNAcentral lists this ribosomal RNA (492 nucleotides) under uncultured bacterium. Its description in RNAcentral is "partial 16S ribosomal RNA". It matches the Rfam family "Bacterial small subunit ribosomal RNA", at positions 29 to 507 of the family's 1533-position model. The record is from RNAcentral.